Molecule: transfer RNA, 73 nt
Filed under: Gossypium hirsutum (cotton)
Lineage: Eukaryota; Viridiplantae; Streptophyta; Magnoliopsida; Malvales; Malvaceae
Rfam family: tRNA
About the family: Transfer RNA (tRNA) molecules are approximately 80 nucleotides in length.
Source: Rfam by way of RNAcentral
AGGCCUGUAGCUUAGAGGAGUAGAGCACAUGGCUACGAACCAUGGUGUUGGGAUUUGAAUCCCUCCUCUCCCA